Non-coding RNA from Hysterangium stoloniferum, 95 nucleotides. The record is from the annotation of a GenBank genome assembly. Lineage: Eukaryota; Fungi; Basidiomycota; Agaricomycetes; Hysterangiales; Hysterangiaceae.
GCCUUGUUAGCUCAAUGGUAGAGCGUCAGACUCUUACAGUCCCACUGACUGGGUAAGAGUCUGGAAGGUUGUAGGUUCGAUUCCCGUGCGAGGCC